UCAAACUUGGUCAUUUAGAGGAAGUAAAAGUCGUAACAAGGUUUCCGUAGGUGAACCUGCGGAAGGAUCAUUAAUGAGUUUUGAAAGCGGGGGUCUGCUGCUGGCGUGGAGACGCGCACGUGCACGACUCUGCGCUCGAUCUAUUUCACCCCUGUGCACUUUUGCAAGGUGAAUAGGCCGUCGCCCUCUAAAGCGCUUGGUGACGAGUAAGGAGAGCGUGCGUAAGCGCCAGUAUCCUGAAAGUCGAAAGGGCUUUGCCGUUUGAAGCGUCCAGCGAGUAAGGUGAAGGUGGGUAAGCUCGCCCGUAGCCUGAAAGUGAACGUCCUUCUUUCGGUGAGCGCGGUCGAAAGCUUUGAUUCUUUGUCAACCCUUUGUGUCUUGUGAAUGCGUCGCCCCUCGUGGGUGAAAUGAAAUACAACUUUCAACGACGGAUCUCUUGGCUCUCGCAUCGAUGAAGAACGCAGC
This 465-nucleotide unclassified non-coding RNA is filed under the name uncultured fungus. RNAcentral's name for it is "partial contains small subunit ribosomal RNA, internal transcribed spacer 1, and 5.8S ribosomal RNA". The stretch from base 1 to 73 matches the Rfam family "Eukaryotic small subunit ribosomal RNA", at positions 1759 to 1831 of the family's 1831-position model. The record is from RNAcentral. Lineage: Eukaryota; Fungi.